Molecule: long non-coding RNA, 1014 nt
Filed under: Vulpes vulpes (red fox)
Lineage: Eukaryota; Metazoa; Chordata; Mammalia; Carnivora; Canidae
Description: lncRNA (ENSVVUG00000001604.1)
Source: RNAcentral
AUGAGUCACUCCCUUCCCCUUCCAAUUAGUGCGAGGAAGGGCUCCGCUCGGCUUCGCGACCGCAAAUCUGGGGCUCGGGGACCUGCCCCGACUCGGGAACAAAGCCCGCAAGGUGGCCUUUCAGGUCCUGCCCGCGGCUCCCAAAUCCUGUUGCAUCCCCGAGCCGAAAUGGCUCCUCCAGCCUCCAGCCUCCAGCCUCCAGCCUCCAGCCUCCAGCCUAGCCUCCAGCCUCCAGCCUCCAGCCUCCAGCCUCCAGCCUCCAGCCUCCAGCCCGGAGCGACUCCGGCCCCGGCUGUGUGCCGACCUGGAAAGCCUCCUCCGCCGGCCCGGUCGGAAUUGAGCAAGUCUGCGAUCGCUUUGUUUUGGAGGAUGCGCGCCCUCUGCAACCCCCCUCACCUCUCGCGGCUCCGCUGCGCUGGCCGGAGGUUGCUUUCCACCCCGGAGAGCCCCCAGAGCACCUUCAAGGAAGUAAUGCCGAGAACUCCAGUGAUGGGAGACGUUAAGGAGCUGGGGGAAAGCAGCCCCGAGGUCGACGUGGCCUCUCCCUGCAGAGCGGCCACCAGGGUCGAUCACCGCUGCACACACGCGCGCACACACAUGCACACACAGGCGUGCACGUGGCAUUUGCAUGUAGUGUGUUGGAGAGGGUCUGGGCGGACCUUUCUAAUGAAACAGCGUCGUCACAACUUUGAAGGAGGGCGGGCUGUGGAAACUCCAGAAAUGCCCGGUUUCUCACAGCCCUACAACAUUACCUCACCCCCCCUCCAAAGAGUUCAGAUGCAUGCCCUUCAAAUGUUCACUGUUGGAACCACAGUCACAAAAAGAAUCCGAGUAUUUAGACAUGACUCCGCUGUUCACUCCUAUUCUGGAGAUGUCUACGAUCCACAGGGAAAAAGAACAUGCUCAGGGAUAACUAGACCAUGUUGCAAAAUUACUAAGACCCAACAAACUGCUGAAAAGCAAAACAAAACAGUGUGCCAUGAGAACAGAAGAUGGAAGGGAUCUUUUCAGUGA